RNAcentral lists this long non-coding RNA (1535 nucleotides) under Marmota monax (woodchuck). The record is from RNAcentral. Lineage: Eukaryota; Metazoa; Chordata; Mammalia; Rodentia; Sciuridae.
UGGUCAUUUUGACUAUAUUAAUUCUGCCUAUCCCAGAUCAUGGGAGACCUUUCCAUCUUCUAAGAUCUUCUUCAGUUCUGAGUGCAUGUAGGGUCAAAUCAACUAAUUUUGAAAAAAAAAAGUGUGGACCGUGGUAUGUAUCACAGAAACGUUGGAAGUGAAAGGUCCCCACAAGGAAUAGAAUUUUCCUGUUUCCCCACACCUCUCUCCCCCACACACAUUCAAACAUACACACAGGGUCCAUCCAGAAAACAGUGACCACUUCUCCUAUUCACCACACAGGAAGUUGAUGCGGGGACUUGGUUAUGUCGGUGAUGGAGGAGAGGACGGGCAGGUGUGGUGGACUGCAAACAUAGCCCCAGAUGAUUCGUCUCCUGCCAACCAAUGGAGCUAAUUUCUUUACUCUUGAAUCUGGGCAACUCUUACGACUUCCUUUGGGAGGAAGUGAUAUGGUACAAGUUCCAAGCUUGGGCUUCGAGAGAUUUUUUUUUCUUAGAACCAACUGAAUAUGCCUGGGCCAGAGGGUUGAAUUAUGAGAGAUGACAUGGACCCGCCAAAGCAGGACCCCUGCUGCAGACUUGGCAGCUGACUGCAGGUGCCUGGGCAGGCCUAGCUAAGAGCAGAGUCGAAGACUUGUCCAGAUGAUCCCAGCCCUAAAUUGCUACCUUACAGACUGUGAGCCACAAACAAACGGUUGCUCUAAACCAUUAUACGUUGGGGUAGUUUGUUUCAUAGCAAAAGCAAACGAACACAGGAAAUUCCAGAGAUUUAGCAAUGACAGAGAGCUACUAUUGCUCUCUUGGGUUACAGAGACAAAGAGGAAGCAAUAAAACUGGAUCCCAGUGUAAUCAGAAUAAAAAAGAGGAAUGAGGGAUGGAGUGUCCCAUGGAGGAUUGGAGGGGUGGAGGAGAUGGAGGGGAGGCUGGUGACUGAAGCAAGGACAGGAAGAAGUACCUUGGCUUCUCCCUUCCAUCUGUCUUCCAAUCUCCCUCCAGCAAUUGCCAUCAGGAAAGCUCAGCUGGGAACCAGUUGGACCAGAAGAAGCCUGGAGAACUAGCAACCAGGAGUCAGCUUCUCUUUGCAACACAGAGCAGAGCUGGGAAAGGGCUGGGAAUGGAUCCAAGUGCAGACAGGCUCAGGACCAGGACUGCAUCCAUUAGGAGACAGCAAAGUAGGUGAGACUAUUGGUGGAACUUUCCAAAAAAGCAAAUCCAUAUUUUAUUCCCUACUCAUGAAUUCAAUCCAAAUUAAAAAAAAAUGGGUUCUAGUUAUUGGAAAACUGUGGUUGCUCGUGUUUCAACUUUUGAAAAAAAAUGUCCAAUGAAGCCCCAGGGGCCUAUUUAUAAAAUGUCACACACGCCACGGCUCAUCAAAAACACGAGCCAUCAAAACACAGCCUCAGUGAUGCUAUCACUGGGUCAAACUGACGAAAAACACCAAGUGGAUUAAUUUUAAUUCUUUCGGCCAGCAUCCAAACCUUCAUGCAUGCCGGCCAAGCACAAAGUAGGUGGCACCCCAGAUGUGCGCACAUGAAC